UCUUUGCUAGUAUAUCGGUUAGUACACGCGCCUGUCAUUCAUAGAUCGGUCGCGCGAAAGCUGGGUUCGACUCCCAGGCAGAGAG
This 85-nucleotide transfer RNA is filed under the name Collybia nuda. Its description in RNAcentral is "Lepista nuda tRNA-Asp". It matches the Rfam family "tRNA". From Rfam's summary of the family: Transfer RNA (tRNA) molecules are approximately 80 nucleotides in length. The record is from RNAcentral. Lineage: Eukaryota; Fungi; Basidiomycota; Agaricomycetes; Agaricales; Clitocybaceae.